UUAAUACCCCCUCCGUCCCAAAAUUCUUGUCUUAGAUUCGUCUAGAUACGUAUUUAGACAAAUCUAAGACAUGAAUUUUGGGACGGAGGGAGUAUUAG
This is a non-coding RNA of Triticum aestivum (bread wheat), 98 nucleotides long. NCBI's taxonomy places the organism in Eukaryota, Viridiplantae, Streptophyta, Magnoliopsida, Poales, Poaceae. The record is from Rfam.